CCUCUUGUGUCUCCCCAGGUGUUUCCGAUUGUCUCUUAAUUUGUUUGCUUUAUAUUCUGAGUCUUGUCAUUCGUGUUUGUCCGUUCAUUGUGCUGCAUCCCCUCAGCCUGUGUGGUGUCUUCUUGUUUUCCAAUCAAUCUUCGAGGCUGAUGUCGGAGACAAAGUCAAUGUUUUCGUACCCGUUCUGCACAAGAACCUGGUAAUACUGACUGAGACCCAGCGGAGGCCUUACAGGUUUGUGGUCCAGSAGCCAGUCUGUGGAGUACAGUUUGCUGAUUUCUGACAGCAGCUUCUUUCGAUGCCCGGGCUUCAUCACAUUAAUGGCUGUCAGGUCCUGAAACAUAAAGAACACUUGGCUUAACCACGGCCACCGUUGCCAACAUUUUAUUUAUUCAUCAUGCAAAACAAUUUGAUGCUAGUUGAACAUGAAUACAUGGGCUGCAUGUGAUAUGCCUUCAGGAACAUUUAGCUGGGGAUAAUCUCUGAUGAGUGUUCCCUGCCUUUCGGGUGGGUACGUGUCACACUGUAGUGUUUGCUCCAGCACACACACACACACACUGAACCCACACUAAAGAACAAACACGGAGUGACGCUAACAGAGUGGACGAGCCAAUGUGUGAAAAAAAUGUGUGCGAAAAACAGGGCAGAGAACAAGACUCGACUGGUUCAGACUCACACCAGGUGACGAGGGGUGAACAAUUUGUGGGGUUCUGCUGGCUAACGGGGAGGGGUCAGAGGUGAUG
Long non-coding RNA from Austrofundulus limnaeus, 743 nucleotides. RefSeq lists it as uncharacterized. NCBI's taxonomy places the organism in Eukaryota, Metazoa, Chordata, Actinopteri, Cyprinodontiformes, Rivulidae. The record is from RefSeq and is a predicted model, not a curated record. The transcript has 3 exons.